AACAAUUACCAAAAGAAUACUCAUACAUAACAUUUUUCACACGUCGACAUAACAUGAUGUUGUGUCGACAUGUGAGAAAUGUUAUGUAUGUGUAUUCUUUUGGUAAUUGUUU
This 112-nucleotide microRNA precursor is filed under the name Medicago truncatula (barrel medic). RNAcentral describes it as "miR5747 stem-loop (mtr-MIR5747)". The record is from miRBase by way of RNAcentral. Lineage: Eukaryota; Viridiplantae; Streptophyta; Magnoliopsida; Fabales; Fabaceae.